GAUAGCGGAGAAAUUCCAAUCGAACUCGGAGAUAGCUGGUUCUCCUCGAAAUAGUUUUAGGACUAGCCUUGUUAAGUAGUAUGUGGGGGUAGAGCACUGAAGGAGCUAGGGGCCAAACCAGGUUACUGAACUCUAUCAAACUCCGAAUACCAUGUACGUAAAAACAGGAGUCAGACUGCGGGAGCUAAGUUCCGUGGUCAAAAGGGAAAGAGCCCAGAUCGUCAAUUAAGGUCCCAAAGAUAUAGUUAAGUGGAAAACGAUGUGAUUUUGCGUAAACAACCAGGAUGUUGGCUUAGAAGCAGCCAUUCAUUUAAAGAGUGCGUAAUAGCUCACUGGUCGAGUGAAGUUGCGCGGAAAAUUACCGGGGCUAAACUAUACACCGAAAUUGCGGAUUCAUGAGAAAUCAUGAGUGGUAGAGGAGCAUUCUAUAGUAGGACGAAGGUAGACCGAAAGGACUGCUGGACGAGAUAGAAGAGAGAAUGCCGGAAUAAGUAGCGAGAGCAAGGUGAGAAUCCUUGCCGUCGAAAGUCUAAGGUUUCCUGGGGAAGGUUCGUCCGCCCAGGGUAAGUCGGGACCUAAGGUGAGGCCGAAAGGCGUAGCCGAUGGAUAGCAGGCAAAAAAUUCCUGCACUAUUGAUAUACAUUAAAAAGCGCAUGUGACACAGGAGAGGAAGAUAAGCGAGGAAGAGGAAAGACUCGUACCGCAAGGUAUAGUGAAAAUAAAAGUAACGAAUUAUCAAGAAUCACACUGGCAAGAAAAGCAUGUGAGUCUAGUAUAUAGAUACCCGUACCGCAAACCGACACAGGUAGAUGAGGAGAGGAUCCUAAGACGAACGGGAGAAGCAUUGUUAAGGAACUCGGCAAAAUGACCCCGUAACUUCGGAAGAAGGGGUGCUGGUGUAGAAGCCAGUCGCAGAGAAGAGUCCCAAGCAACUGUUUAACAAAAACAUAGGUUUCUGCUAAAUCGAAAGAUGAAGUAUAGGAGCUGACGCCUGCCCAGUGCUGGAAGGUUAAGGGAAAGAGUUAGGAGUAAUCCGAAGCCCUGAACUGAAGCCCCAGUGAACGGCGGCCGUAACUAUAACGGUCCUAAGGUAGCGAAAUUCCUUGUCAGGUAAGUUCUGACCCGCACGAAAGGCGUAAUGAUUUGGGAGCUGUCUCGACAAUGUCCCCGGCGAAAUUGUAGUACUAGUGAAGAUGCUAGUUACCUGCGACAAGACAGAAAGACCCCAUGGAGCUUUACUGUAGCUUGAUACUGGGUUUCGGUAGUUUAUGUACAGGAUAGGUGGGAGGCUGUGAAUACAGGGCGUCAGCUUUGUAGGAGCCAUUGUUGGGAUACCACCCUUAAAUUACUGGAAUUCUAACCUGUAGUCGUAAUCCGGCUAGGGGACAAUGUCAGGUGGGCAGUUUGACUGGGGCGGUCGCCUCCUAAAGAGUAACGGAGGCGCCCAAAGGUUUCCUCAGCCUGGUCAGAAAUCAGGCGUAAGAGUGCAAAGGCAGAAGGAAGCUUAACUGAAAGACAGACAUGUCGAGCAGAUACGAAAGUAGGGCUUAGUGAUCCGGUGGUUGUAAAUGGAAAUGCCAUCGCUCAACGGACAAAAGUUACCCUGGGGAUAACAGGCUUAUCUCCCCCAAGAGUUCACAUCGACGGGGAGGUUUGGCACCUCGAUGUCGGCUCAUCACAUCCUGGAGCGGAAGUACGUUCCAAGGGUUGGGCUGUUCGCCCAUUAAAGUGGUACGCGAGCUGGGUUCAGAACGUCGUGAGACAGUUCGGUCCUUAUCUGUCGCAGGCGCAGGAUAUUUGAGGGGAGUUGACCUUAGUACGAGAGGACCAGGUUGAACUUACCAAUGGUGCACCAGUUGUCAUACCAAUGGCAUAGCUGGGUAGCUAAGUAGGGAAGGGAUAAACGCUGAAAGCAUCUAAGUGUGAAGCCCACCCCAAGAUAAGAUAUCCCAUACCGAUAAGGUAGU
RNAcentral lists this ribosomal RNA (1967 nucleotides) under mouse gut metagenome. Its description in RNAcentral is "bacterial LSU rRNA". It matches the Rfam family "Bacterial large subunit ribosomal RNA", at positions 814 to 2829 of the family's 2925-position model. The record is from RNAcentral.